This 778-nucleotide long non-coding RNA is filed under the name Gossypium raimondii (Peruvian cotton). RNAcentral's name for it is "long non-coding RNA (GRAI_LNC004244)". Lineage: Eukaryota; Viridiplantae; Streptophyta; Magnoliopsida; Malvales; Malvaceae. The record is from RNAcentral.
GCAGAAUCAACAUUGCAUUUGAAGGUUCCCGCUGGCGGUGGUGACCAUAAACCGAGAGCAUUCUGUCGUAAACGAGGAAGCAACUCGACGCGACAAUGAACCGCAUGCGAAGCAUGCCAGUCAUGCCUAAAUCGAGUGGCAAAAGUGAGGAUUUGAGGGUCAUCCAUAACAACAUUCUUCCAAAGAGCUAAAUUUCGAAAAUACCACAAACUCCACAUUAUUAUAGCAACAGUUUCCAUAGCACCACCAUCGGAGCCAUGGCGGAGAGCCACCUGACAAUUGAUUUCCCCCAACCCAACCCACCACACCGCACACAAUCAGUCAGCACCAAACAGCCCCUUUCGGCUAAACGACAGUGAGUUGGCAAAAAACUACAGAGUCAAUGCCAAACAAAGUCCUUAACUUUCAGUGGGAAGGUAGAAUUCCAGAGUUUAAGCCAUGGCCCAUCAAUUGCAGCAUAACGGCCACUCUCAACCAUAUCAAAAGCCAAACGAUAAGCAGACUUGACCAUAUAAAUACCAUGCUUCUCAUCAUGCCAAAUUAACCUGUCACUAGUAGGAAACAAACUGACCGGAAUUCGAAGAAUACGACUUACGUUAGAUGGCACCAUCAAACCGUCAACAAGAGGAACAUACCAAGCAGAAUCGGAUGGUUGAAUGUCCCUCACACGCAAGGAUUCCAUACUAGACAAAGGACUCGAUGCCACGUAAAAGUUCGCAUCAUCAUCAAGCUAAGGAUCAUGAUAAACAGAGAUAUCAUUACCGUCACCCAAGCGCCA